GGGUCUGUUGUAAUAAAUUCAUCAAUUGAUCAUACUGUUGUCUGCUCAACCCUGGUAUCACAAAACUCUAGCCAUUUAUUUUUGGAACAGAUUGAUGGCUUUCAGGAGGAUUCCCUUGGGGAACAGACAUAUGUCCUUCAGAAUGAGGGAAAUCCAGACCAGCAGUAAGAUGAGCAGCAGCAGGUCUCCUCCCCUUGUUGAAAUUUGUACUUUGUGGAUACCCAUGGAUCUUGAAACACUUAUCAAUUAAGUGUCCAGAUUUUUUACAGUAUCUACAGAAUAAAGGCCCCCUGGCUUGAUCAAAAAUGACUCUUUGUCUAAAAAGAGAAGAAGGAUUAGGCAUUGUGGCCUUGUUAAAUCCAACUGUAUGCCUAUUAGUAUGGACAUUGAAAGAGACAGAGUCUGGAUUAAAGUGAGAAGGUGACUGGACUUAUCUUUGCUUCUCAUCAUUGAGGACCAUAUUAUAGACAUU
RNAcentral lists this long non-coding RNA (472 nucleotides) under Nicotiana benthamiana. Its description in RNAcentral is "long non-coding RNA (NBEN_LNC023950)". The record is from RNAcentral. Lineage: Eukaryota; Viridiplantae; Streptophyta; Magnoliopsida; Solanales; Solanaceae.